This 423-nucleotide ribosomal RNA is filed under the name uncultured bacterium. Its description in RNAcentral is "bacterial SSU rRNA". It matches the Rfam family "Bacterial small subunit ribosomal RNA", at positions 358 to 773 of the family's 1533-position model. The record is from RNAcentral.
GGAAUAUUGGACACUGGGCGAAAGCCUGAUCCAGCCAUGCCGCGUGUGUGAAGAAGGUCUUCGGAUUGUAAAGCACUUUAAGUUGGGAGGAAGGGUAGUAACUUAAUACGUUGCUACUUUGACGCUACCGACAGAAUAAGCACCGGCCAACUUCCAGCCAGCAGCCGCGGUAAUCAGAAGGGCGCAAGCGUUAAUCGGAAUUACUGGGCGUAAAGCGCGCGUAGGUGGUUCAGUAAGUUGGAAGUGAAAUCCCCGGGCUCAACCUGGGAACUGCUUUCAAAACUGCUGAGCUAGAGUACGGUAGAGGGUGGUGGAAUUUCCUGUGUAGCGGUGAAAUGCGUAGAUAUAGGAAGGAACACCAGUGGCGAAGGCGACCACCUGGACUGAUACUGACACUGAGGUGCGAAAGCGUGGGGAGCAAAC